GAGGCCGCUCGCUUCCGGUCUCCGCGAGUCCUCCCCGCUGCCGCCGCCGCCGCCGCCCUCAGCCUCCCCGCCCCCCGCCCUUCCACCAUGGCCGCCUGUGUGUGGUGUGGGGAGAAGCUGGUCCUCCGUGUCCUCCUGUAGCGCUCACUGCCUCACCCUCACCCCUAGGGGCCGGAUCCAAAGGAACCUCGCUCCCCAGCCCUUCGGGCCCCAGCCAGAAAGGCUCUGGCACCCGGAGUUCGUAAUUUCUAGGACUUCCUGCCCGUCCACCCCCUGGCCUCCUCCCGUCUCUUGGCCACAGCCAUGGAGUUACAGAAGGGAAAGGGGGCAGCAGCAGCAGCUGCUUCGGGAGCAGCGGGAGGUGGAGGAGGAGCGGGAGCAGGAGCCCCAGGAGGGGGGAGGCUGCUACUUUCAACCAGUUUGGAUGCCAAGGAUGAGUUAGAGGAGAGGUUAGAAAGAUGCAUGAGCAUUGUGACAUCGAUGACUACUGGUGUCUCAGAGAGGGAGGCCAAUGAUGCCCUCAAUGCUCACGU
This is a non-coding RNA of Leptonychotes weddellii (Weddell seal), 533 nucleotides long. Lineage: Eukaryota; Metazoa; Chordata; Mammalia; Carnivora; Phocidae. The record is from RefSeq and is a predicted model, not a curated record.